GAUGAACGCUGGCGGCGUGCCUAAUACAUGCAAGUCGAGCGAACAGACGAGGAGCUUGCUCCUCUGACGUUAGCGGCGGACGGGUGAGUAACACGUGGAUGACCUACCUAUAAGACUGGGAUAACUUCGGGAAACCGGAGCUAAUACCGGAUAAUAUCUUGAACCGCAUGGUUCAAUAGUGAAAGACGGUUUUGCUGUCACUUAUAGAUGGAUCCGCGCCGCAUUAGCUAGUUGGUAAGGUAACGGGUUACCAAGGCGACGAUGCGUAGCCGACCUGAGAGGGUGAUCGGCCACACUGGAACUGGGACGCGGUCCAGACUCCUACGGGAGGCAGCAGUAGGGAAUCUUACGCAAUGGGCGAAAGCCUGACGGAGCAACGCCGCGUGAGUGAUGAAGGUCUUCGGAUCGUAAAACUCUGUUAUUAGGGAAGAACAAAUGUGUAAGUAACUAUGCACGUCUUGACGGUACCUAAUCAGAAAGCCACGGCUAACUACGUG
Molecule: ribosomal RNA, 497 nt
Filed under: uncultured bacterium
Lineage: Bacteria
Description: partial 16S ribosomal RNA
Rfam family: Bacterial small subunit ribosomal RNA
Source: RNAcentral